CCUACGGGACGCAGUGAGGAAUAUUGGUCACUGGGCGCGAGCCUGAACCAGCCAAGUAGCGUGAAGGAUGACUGCCCUACGGGUUGUAAUCUUCUUUUCUUAAGUAAUAUCGUGAGGCACGUGUGCCUUCUUGUAUGUACUUUAUGAAUAAAGAUCGUCUAACUCCUUGCCAACCGCCGCGGUAAUACGGCGGAUCCGAGCGUUAUUCGGCUUUAUUGGUUUUAACGGGGGCGUAGAUGGGUUGUUAAGGGAGUUGUGAAAGUUUGCGGCUCAACCGUAAAAUUGCAAGUGAUACUGGCAGUCGUGAGUACAGUAGAGGUAGGCGGAAUUCGUGGGGGAGCGGUGAAAUGCUUAGAUAUCACGAAGAACUCCGAUUGCGAAGGCAGCUUACUAAACUGCCACUGACAUUGAUGCUCGAAAGUGUGGGUAUCAAACAGGAUUAGAUACCCGAGUAGUC
RNAcentral lists this ribosomal RNA (457 nucleotides) under uncultured bacterium. Its description in RNAcentral is "partial 16S ribosomal RNA". It matches the Rfam family "Bacterial small subunit ribosomal RNA", at positions 338 to 795 of the family's 1533-position model. The record is from RNAcentral.